RNAcentral lists this ribosomal RNA (506 nucleotides) under uncultured bacterium. RNAcentral describes it as "partial 16S ribosomal RNA". It matches the Rfam family "Bacterial small subunit ribosomal RNA", at positions 30 to 523 of the family's 1533-position model. The record is from RNAcentral.
AUUGAACGCUGGCGGCAGGCCUAACACAUGCAAGUCGAACGGCAGCGGGGGAUAGCUUGCUAUCCUGCCGGCGAGUGGCGGACGGGUGUGUAAUGCAUGGGGAGCUGCCCAGUCGAGGGGGAUAACAACUGGAAACGGUUGCUAAUACCGCAUACGCCCUAAGGGGGAAAGGUGGGGAACUUCGGUCCUACCGCGAUUGGAUGCGCCCAUGUGGGAUUAGCUAGUUGGUGAGGUAACGGCUCACCAAGGCGACGAUCUCUAGGUGGGCUGAGAGGAUGACCAGACACACUGGAACUGAGACACGGUCCAAGCUCCUACGGGAGGCAGCAGUGGGGAAUAUUGCACAAUGGGGGAAACCCUGAUGCAGCCAUGCCGCGUGUGUGAAGAGGGCCUUCGGGUUGUAAAGCACUUUCAGUCAGGAGGAAGGUGGUAAGGCUAAUAUCCUUAUCAAUUGACGUUACUGACAGAAGAAGCACCGGCUAACUCCGUGCCAGCCGCCGCGGUAA